CUAAUUGUUAAAGAAAAUCAGAUAUUGGAUUUUUGUGGGGUUCUGGUUUGUGGAUGACUGUAUAAAUCAAAUAUUAGGAAUCUAGGAUAUGAAUGAUACCAUGGACAAAAAACAACUUCAAACCUGAAUUUGCUAGAAAAGAUUCUUGAUUUUCUUGACAAAAAUGGAUUGGAUUCCUCCAUUUAGACUGCCACUAAUUCCACUUCACCUUAUACAAGGUACUUACAUCUGAUUCUUUUGUAAGUUGUGACUACAAUUUUUUACUUUUCUACUUUCUUUUAAUGCUUUAUUUUUGUAUGGAUGUGCUCUAUUUUAUUAAUUUGCCAAGGUAAAGUUUUGACCUUUAUUAGUGUUGAAACCUGGCUGUGAUUGUGAGGCUUAUCUGGAAGAUAUUGAAGCUAAAACUAAAUGCAAGCUUCAGAAAUUAGAGGGUUUACUUAGUAGUUAUCCUCUUCCACCUUAAUUAUGUUGUAUCCAGAUGGAAAGGUGUUUAUUAAAGAUUACUGCUGAACUAUGCUCAUUUUGGUCAAUAUUUCAAAAGAGUUCUUGAUAAUGUUGUAACUUGUGGCAUUAUGGAAGCAAAUGUUUCAAUGAAGCAAAACUUCUAGAGGAACCUCAUCUUUCUGUUGUCCUCUACUUGCGUGUUCAUGCACUUUCCACCAAGUUAUCAUCAUAUUCAGGUUCUGUUUUUCCUUGUUCUUGAUGUCAUUUCCGUAUAUUAUCUCAUUUAGUAGCUAUUUGAUCUGUUUGAUGAACAAGUCACUUUGAUGAAUGAUAAUUGGAUUUUCUUUUCAAAAUCUGUUUCUUCUGUACAUCUUCGUCUAUAAUUUAUUUGUUCAAUCUUUUGGUACAAACUAAAUGUUGUUAUCUGCAUUCCUCUUUUUCUUUUGAAGAAAGCAGAUAUGAGAGUGAUGCAGCAUCUGGAGGUGCGGUUGAAUUUUGGGCUAUGCGUCUUUAACUGGUUUUUAUAGAAUCAAAGACCUUGAACUGUUUUCUUUUAUGAAGAAAAUUAAUGAUAAAGUAUUUAGAACACAAAAUUUUAGUUUAUCUAGAUUAGGAAAAUUAUGUGAUGAUUAUGGGAUGUGGUUCUUGCUUGUUUUUCCCACUUUCUAAUUCUUAAGAAACAAAUUUUGUGAGUUGAGAUACGUUAUCCGUAGUCAUUAAAUGAAAAUGUCCUGUUUCAUCCAUUGAUAUGGAUCUUAUUGCUCAGAUCUGAAUCCAACUCGCUUCUCAUAUUCAACAGUUACCUAUUCAGUAUUAAGUAGUGAAAGACUGUAUAAAAAACAAUCUGCAUCAAGCGAUCUUGCAGUUGAAUCAUUUGACUUUUUGUAAUUAAAUUCUUUAUACUUUUGUGAUAAAAUGAUUAGUCUCUUCUUGAGUUUCUACGUGUACAAUUAAGAAUGUGUUCCCAAUUGUGGGUCAUUUUUAGCUGCUAGCCAUGUAUGAUAUUGGACUUCCUCGGGUAGUUUUGGCACUGUCACUGGUGUUGAUGUUGCAAGGCAUAGGCUGGCGCCUGGCAGCUUGGUGCUCAUUGUUGUCUAUUUGCUACUGAUAUACAACUUUUUUUUCUUUGAUUUGUCGGGGCUCAGUCGAAUACCCAAUAUGUAACAGACUCUAAUGGAAGUUAUUGUUUCUUGAUUUUUGUGUUGUGCCUGUCUAGAUGAGUUUGCAGUUCUGUGCAUAUUCUUAAAAUAUCAUUCUUCAUAGUUUUGGAUAGGGAUUAUGUGUGGGAUAAGAACUUAGAUACAUACAAAGAGUGGACAUCUAGGAGGCCGUUGAAAGAAAGGGAAGGGCAAACAAGCCAGAGGAUAAUGGUGACUUGCUGCUAGUCUGACAAAUUCAAUGUCCCAAACUUAUAUAUAGUGGACUGCAUUCAAUACGCUGUGGUUAGGCUCAGUCAAAGGAGUUAUAUCACAGUGUGAAGAUAUCUGUGUAUAGUUCUCCAUUAUCUGCAGAUUACAGCUGAUGGUUAAAUUGUGAAUCAGGUCCUUGUGGAUGCAGAUUGCACACCUGAUGGAUAAAUUAUGCACAUCCAGAAAUUGGAAAAUUGGGGCUGGACAAUCCUUCAGCAAUGUGUAGUUGAUGCGGUGGAAAUGAACAAUAUAAAUUAUCUUCAGGUUCUGGUGCAUAUUUGCUUAAAGACACUCUGUGUAGGUUUCAUUUUGGAACGAGUGCAAUGGUGUGUUCUUUGUGUUCUUAAUUUAUUGGACUUGAGAUUAGAAGAAACUGUCAAUAAAACCUUCUGCAGAGUUUUUAGAGCUUGUGCUUCUAUAGAUUUCCAUAAAGUUAGAAGAAUGAUUUUAUUGAUAUAUAGGCAUGUAAUUGUAUUAUUUGCAACUUGUACAUGAUGUCAAGUUUCUAGAUAUAGCACCACUUUUUAGGAAUUGACUGUAUAGAAUUAAUGAUAAAGUAUUUAGAACACAAAAUUUUAGCUUAUCUAGAUUAGGAAAAUUAUGUGAUGAUUAUGGAAUGUGGUUCUUGCUUGUUUUUCCCACUUCCUAAUUCCUAAGAAACAAAUUUUGUGAGUUGAGAUGCGUUAUCCGUAGUCAUUAGAUGAAAAUGUCCUGUUUUAUCCAUUCAUAUGGAUCUUCUUUCUCAGAUCUAAAUCCAACUCGCUUCUCAUUUUUGACAGUUACCUAUUCAGUAUUAAGUAGUAAAAGACUGUAUAAAGAAAAAUCUGCAUCAGGCGAUCUUGCAGUUGAAUUAUUUCACUACUUGUAAUUAUGUUCUUUAUACUUUUGUGAUAAAAUGAUUAGUUUCUUCUUGAGUUUCUACGUGUGCAAUUAAGAAUGUAUCGCAAAUUGCGGGUCAUUUUUAGCUGCUAUGUAUGAUAUCAGACUUCCUUGGGUAGUUCUGGCACUGUCACUGGGGUUGAUGUUGCAAGGCAUAGGCUGGCGCCUGGCAGCUUGGAGCUCAUUGUUGUCUAUUUGCAGCUGAUAUACAACUUGUUUUUCUUUGAUUCGUCGGGGCUCAGUCAAAUUCCAAAUAUGUAACAGACUCUUAUA
Molecule: long non-coding RNA, 3005 nt
Filed under: Daucus carota (carrot)
Lineage: Eukaryota; Viridiplantae; Streptophyta; Magnoliopsida; Apiales; Apiaceae
Description: long non-coding RNA (DCAR_LNC003358)
Source: RNAcentral